RNAcentral lists this ribosomal RNA (496 nucleotides) under uncultured bacterium. Its description in RNAcentral is "partial 16S ribosomal RNA". It matches the Rfam family "Bacterial small subunit ribosomal RNA", at positions 28 to 507 of the family's 1533-position model. The record is from RNAcentral.
GAUGAACGCUGGCGGCGUGCCUAAUACAUGCAAGUCGAGCGAACAGACGAGGAGCUUGCUCCUCUGACGUUAGCGGCGGACGGGUGAGUAACACGUGGAUAACCUACCUAUAAGACUGGGAUAACUUCGGGAAACCGGAGCUAAUACCGGAUAAUAUAUUGAACCGCAUGGUUAAUAGUGAAAGACGGUUUUGCUGUCACUUAUAGAUGGAUCCGCGCCGCAUUAGCUAGUUGGUAAGGUAACGGCUUACCAAGGCGACGAUGCGUAGCCGGCCUGAGAGGGUGAUCGGCCACACUGGAACUGAGACACGGUCCAGACUCCUACGGGAGGCAGCAGUAGGGAAUCUUCCGCAAUGGGCGAAAGCCUGACGGAGCAACGCCGCGUGAGUGAUGAAGGUCUUCGGAUCGUAAAACUCUGUUAUUAGGGAAGAACAAAUGUGUAAGUAACUAUGCACGUCUUGACGGUACCUAAUCAGAAAGCCACGGCUAACUACGUG